Molecule: ribosomal RNA, 253 nt
Filed under: uncultured bacterium
Lineage: Bacteria
Description: partial 16S ribosomal RNA
Rfam family: Bacterial small subunit ribosomal RNA
Source: RNAcentral
UACGAAGGGGGCGAGUGUUGUUCGGAUUUACUGGGCGUAAAGGGCGCGUAGGCGGGUCCGCAAGUCGAUCGUGAAAUCCUUCGGCUCAACUGAAGGGGGUCGGUCGAUACUGCGGGUCUUGAGGGAUGCAGAGGAGACUGGAAUUCCCGGUGUAGCGGUGAAAUGUGUAGAGAUCGGGAGGAACACCGGUGGCGAAGGCGGGUCUCUGGGCAUCUCCUGACGCUGAGGCGCGAAAGCGUGGGGAGCAAACGGG